UAUUGCGCAAUGGGCGAAAGCCUGACGCAGCGACGCCGCGUGGGGGAUGAAGGUCUUCGGAUUGUAAACCCCUUUCGGGAGGGAAGAUGGAAUGGGGUAACCCAUUCGGACGGUACCUCCAGAAGCAGCCACGGCUAACUUCGUGCCAGCAGCCGCGGUAAUACGAAGGUGGCAAGCGUUAUUCGGAUUUACUGGGCGUACAGGGAGCGUAGGCGGUUUGGUAAGCCCUCUGUGAAAUCUCCAGGCUUAACCUGGAAAAGUCGGAGGGGACUGCUGGGCUAGAGGACGGGAGAGGAGCGCGGAAUUCCCGGUGUAGCGGUGAAAUGCGUAGAGAUCGGGAGGAAGGCCGGUGGCGAAGGCGGCGCUCUGGAACGUUCUGACGCUGAGGCCGA
Molecule: ribosomal RNA, 392 nt
Filed under: uncultured bacterium
Lineage: Bacteria
Description: bacterial SSU rRNA
Rfam family: Bacterial small subunit ribosomal RNA
Source: RNAcentral